GUCUCCUUCUGUGCAGACAUUCCAACCCGCCUGGACACCUUCCUGUGUAACCUCAUCUGGGUGUUCCUGCUCCAUGGGGGGAUUGCACUGGAUGAGCUCUCCAGGUCCCUUCCAACCCCUCACAUUCUGGGAUUCUGACCCAUAUGCAGUUCACACAGGUGCAGCAGCAGAACACGGGCAGCACCUGUGCCUGGCGAGACUUGCUCACACCAAGCACCUCCUGUGACUCUGUGAGGUUUCACAGCCUUCCCACAUCUCCUUGUUAUUCCAUUUUAUACUUUGUUGUUAAGAACAACCCCCCUUCCUCCGCACUUGAUAGGUGUCUGUAUUUAACCCGCAGAACUGACACCAGUGUGUGAUGCACUUCAACAUGUCCAUGCAGUGGUUGUGAAGAGACUUUCUGCAGUUCAGUUUGCUCCUGGACUGCAUGGGCAGCCUCCAUCAGUGCAUACAGGAUGCUCCAGCCUUCACCUCACCUCUGGAAAGGGAUUUAGGUGCAAGAAAAGGUACAAGAUUUGGGGCAUCCAUUGGCACAUCACCGUGACACCUACUUACAAGUCUCUCCAUUGAGCAACUUCCAUGUGCAUGCAAAAACCAAAUUAAAGCCAUCAAAAUCGA
This is a long non-coding RNA of Columba livia (rock pigeon), 618 nucleotides long. RefSeq lists it as uncharacterized. Lineage: Eukaryota; Metazoa; Chordata; Aves; Columbiformes; Columbidae. The record is from RefSeq and is a predicted model, not a curated record. The transcript is spliced from 2 exons.